This 326-nucleotide ribosomal RNA is filed under the name uncultured Bacteroidota bacterium. RNAcentral describes it as "bacterial SSU rRNA". It matches the Rfam family "Bacterial small subunit ribosomal RNA", at positions 28 to 351 of the family's 1533-position model. Lineage: Bacteria; Pseudomonadati; Bacteroidota. The record is from RNAcentral.
GAUGAACGCUAGCGGCAGGCCUAACACAUGCAAGUCGAGGGGCAACAGGAGUAGCAAUACUUGCUGGCGACCGGCGCACGGGUGAGUAACGCGUAUGCAACCUACCCAUAACAAGGGGAUAGCUUUCGGAAACGGAAAUUAAUACCCUAUAGUAUUCCCGGGUCGCAUGGCCUGGGGGUUAAAACUACGGUGGUUAUGGAUGGGCAUGCGUGCCAUUAGCUAGUUGGCGGGGUAACGGCCCACCAAGGCGAUGAUGGCUAGGGGGUCUAAAAGGAUGAUCCCCCACACUGGUACUGAGACACGGACCAGACUCCUACGGGAGGCAG